Molecule: ribosomal RNA, 468 nt
Filed under: uncultured bacterium
Lineage: Bacteria
Description: partial 16S ribosomal RNA
Rfam family: Bacterial small subunit ribosomal RNA
Source: RNAcentral
GACGAACGCUGGCGGCGUGCUUAACACAUGCAAGUCGAACGGAAAGGCCCUGCUUUUGUGGGGUGCACGAGUGGCGAACGGGUGAGUAACACGUGAGUAACCUGCCCUUGACUUUGGGAUAACUUCAGGAAACUGGGGCUAAUACCGGAUAGGAGCUCCUGCUGCAUGGUGGGGGUUGGAAAGUUUCGGCGGUUGGGGAUGGACUCGCGGCUUAUCAGCUUGUUGGUGGGGUAGUGGCUUACCAAGGCUUUGACGGGUAGCCGGCCUGAGAGGGUGACCGGCCACAUUGGGACUGAGAUACGGCCCAGACUCCUACGGGAGGCAGCAGUGGGGAAUAUUGCACAAUGGGCGGAAGCCUGAGGCAGCAACGCCGCGUGCGGGAUGACGGCCUUCGGGUUGUAAACCGCUUUCGCCUGUGACGAAGCGUGAGUGACGGUAAUGGGUAAAGAAGCACCGGCUAACUACGUG